UUCUAGCUCAACAUCCUGACAUUUGUACUAAGGCUGGUGUUCCUAGUAAGAGAGGUUGUGAUUUGUCUUUUGAUUUUAGACUGUUUGAGGGUACACAUGCUGCAGACUGUGCUGCAUCAUCUGUCAAUCAGUCAACUGAUGUUUUGCCUGGGAAGCAAAUGAUUGUUGACUUCAAGGUGUUUUUUCAAUGUCAAUCCUGGUGUUCUUAAUGAUAUUGCAGGUGGUGAUACUGAGGUAGAGGAGGAGGACUCUGACGCAAGUCCUUCUAUGUGACCUGCUUAUGCUUUAUUUGCAUGUCCUUUUGGAUUUUAAUUUGUAGGGCUACGCCCUGAUG
Molecule: long non-coding RNA, 334 nt
Filed under: Trifolium pratense (red clover)
Lineage: Eukaryota; Viridiplantae; Streptophyta; Magnoliopsida; Fabales; Fabaceae
Description: long non-coding RNA (TPRA_LNC005258)
Source: RNAcentral